GGGACUAUAGUUAAUAAUAACAUUUGAGUUGCAUUCAAAAAGUACUACCAUACAGUAGUUAGCCUCA
Molecule: transfer RNA, 67 nt
Filed under: Termes hospes
Lineage: Eukaryota; Metazoa; Arthropoda; Insecta; Blattodea; Termitidae
Also listed under: 1 other name
Description: tRNA-Ala
Source: RNAcentral